RNAcentral lists this ribosomal RNA (567 nucleotides) under Triticum aestivum (bread wheat). Its description in RNAcentral is "partial small subunit ribosomal RNA". Lineage: Eukaryota; Viridiplantae; Streptophyta; Magnoliopsida; Poales; Poaceae. The record is from RNAcentral.
AUGUGUGUUUUAUCUGUUGCUGAUAUUUUGGGAGGAGGUUUGAAUAAUGGCAGGUUUAGGAGAACUUUGUAUAGGGAAUCUUUGGAAUUGUGGGAACAUAUAAGAGAGGCUUGUGGGAGUGUGACUCUGAAUGAGCAGAGAGAUGUAGUGAGAUGGACACUGAUGGGCAAUGGGAAAUAUACUGUUAAAUCUUGUUAUAGAUAUAUGGUUCAAACUGGUUUCAGGUACCCGCAUAACUUUCUAUGGAAAGUUAAAAUGACCCCUAGGGUCAAAGUUUUCAUGUGGCUCACUUUGAGAGUGAGUAUACUCUCUAAAGAUAACUUGAUCAGGAGGAGGUGGUCUGGAGACAGUAAAUAUUCUUUUUGUGGGAGGGAAGACGAUAUUAAUCAUCUCUUCUUUCGUUGUUCCAUUGCUAGACUGUUGUGGAUGGUCAUGAAAUGCUCGUUUGGCAUGCAUGACAUUCCUGAUAACAUCCAACGCUUAUUCUUGAUUUGGAUCAGAAAAUUUAAUAAAAGUGAUAGAGAUCUCCCGACAAUUGGGAUUCCGGCUAUCUUCUGGACAUUAUGA